Molecule: long non-coding RNA, 442 nt
Filed under: Brassica rapa (field mustard)
Lineage: Eukaryota; Viridiplantae; Streptophyta; Magnoliopsida; Brassicales; Brassicaceae
Description: long non-coding RNA (BRAP_LNC004617)
Source: RNAcentral
AGGGGGCUUAGCACUAGCCACAGGUGCGGUUACGUUUUCUUUUACCUGAGAAGGCGAAACGGUUGGAGCGGUUGCGUUUUCUUUUACCUGAGAAGGCGAAACGGUUGGAGCGGUUGCGUUUUCUUUUACCUGAGAAGGUGAAACGGUGGGAGCGGUUGCGUUUUCUUUUACCUGAGAAGGUGAAACGGUGGGAGCGGUUGCGUUUUCUUUUACCUGAGAAGGUGAAACGUUGGUAGCGGUUGCGUUUUCUUUUACCUGAGAAGGCGAAACGUUGGGAGCGGUUGCAUUUUCUUUUACUUGAGAAGGUGAAACGGUGGGAGCGGUUGCGUUUCCACCGCUGUCAAAGAUCUUAUCAACCUCAACUUCCUCAUCAUCUCCUCCACCACCAGAAGAAUCAUCCACCAGAGAAGCGUUCUUUUGUGGAAAGCUCGGUGCCAUAGCU